This 400-nucleotide ribosomal RNA is filed under the name uncultured Suillus. RNAcentral describes it as "eukaryotic LSU rRNA". The stretch from base 1 to 123 matches the Rfam family "5.8S ribosomal RNA", at positions 33 to 154 of the family's 154-position model. Lineage: Eukaryota; Fungi; Basidiomycota; Agaricomycetes; Boletales; Suillaceae. The record is from RNAcentral.
UCGAUGAAGAACGCAGCGAAUCGCGAUAUGUAAUGUGAAUUGCAGAUCUACAGUGAAUCAUCGAAUCUUUGAACGCACCUUGCGCUUAUCGGUGUUCCGAUGAGCAUGCCUGUUUGAGCGUCAUUAAAUUCUCAACCCCUCUCGAUUUGCUUCGAGAGGGAGCUUGGAUCGUGGAGGCUGCCGGAGACCUGUUUUUCAGGACUCGGGCUCCUCUGAAAUGUAUUGGCUUGCGGUCGACUUUCGACUGUGCAUGACAAGGCCUUUGGCGUGAUAAUGAUCGCCGCUCGCCGAAGUGCACGAACGAAUGGUCUCGUGCCUCUAAUCAGUCGACGCCUUUUCGAAGGCGUCUUCCUUAUUGACGUUUGACCUCAAAUCAGGUAGGACUACCCGCUGAACUUAA